CCUACGGGUGUCAGCAGUGGGGAAUAUUGGUCAAUGGGCGCAAGCCUGACCCAGCAACGCCGCGUGAAGGAAGAAGGCUUUCGGGUUGUAAACUUCUUUUAUCAGGGACGAAGCAAGUGACGGUACCUGAAGAAAAAGCAUCGGCUAACUCCGUGCCAGCAGCCGCGGUAAUACGGAGGAUGCGAGCGUUAUCCGGAUUUAUGGGGUUUAAAGGGUGCGCAGGCGGAGGCACAAGUCAGCGGUAAAAUCGCGGGGCUCAAACCCGCUCCGCCGUUGAAACUGUGUCCCUUGAGUGCGCGAAGGGUAGGCGGAAUGCGUGGUGUAGCGGUGAAAUGCAUAGAUAUCACGCAGAACUCCGAUCGCGAAGGCAGCCUACCGGCGCGCAACUGACGCUCAUGCACGAAAGCGUGGGUAUCGAACAGGAUUAGAUACCCGUGUAGUC
RNAcentral lists this ribosomal RNA (442 nucleotides) under uncultured bacterium. Its description in RNAcentral is "partial 16S ribosomal RNA". It matches the Rfam family "Bacterial small subunit ribosomal RNA", at positions 338 to 795 of the family's 1533-position model. The record is from RNAcentral.